CUUGUCCCUCAUUGCUGUAGAACAUCGUAUCAUAAUUCUUCUGGAGAAAAGAUGAAGAUAACUGUCAGAAGAUGUGGGUUCCUGUGCCAGAUCUCACAUUAACUUCAGGGUUUUAGUUGAGUUUUUUUCUUUGCCCUGGCCUCAUCUGUGAAACAGAUUAUCUAACCCUGACACACACAUCUAGAAAUGCUGUGAGGCAUAAAGAGUUUCUACUUGGGAAAUCCUUCUGUGUUUAUAAGAGAGAAUGAAAGUAAAAUGAAAUCACCAUCAGCAAAAAGUAACACACAAUGGGAGACUUAGAUAAAAGGCAGCCCAGUCCAAGACAGACUGUACCAACUUUUCUUCAAAGUAAAAAUUCAUCUGUACAUGUGAAUAUGCCCCCAAACUACUUAUGUCAAAGCAAGAUCGGGACCCAAAACUUGGAAUUUCUUUAUUAUUUAUUGCAUCAGUUUGAAAAGGAGGCACAAAACAUAUUACAUUAUGUUGAGUGAAGGAAACGGAUUCCAUCCAUGUACUCUGACAUUGUUAUUUCAUAUCACUGUCUCUGCAUUGGGUGCCUGCCAUGUUCAAGGCACCGUGAUCUUCUUUUCUUGUAUGAACUCAUUUAUGCCUUACAAUAACCCCGUCUAAAUGGUAUUAGCAUUCCUAUUCUUCUAAGGAGGAAGUUGAGGUUCAUGUCUAUAAAAAAAUUCCCCAAAGUCACCCUUAGCUACUAAAUCCUGAGCCAGGAGUUACCUAAGGGAUUUUCUGCUUGCACAUUCUAUGCUCUUUUCCCGAUGAUGAUCUUUCUGAAGGAUGAAUGCAUCAAAGUGGUAAUGAGAUGAGACCUCUCAGUCCAAAGAGAUAUGAGACCUUCAUCAUCAGCAUCUUCAAGAGGUGGUGUUGUGUAGGAGCUCAUGCAUGUGUGCAUGGCUCAGUGUGGCCAGAGGGAGAAUAUUAGCUUAUAGUUUCUGGUAAGCACUUUCAUUUUUAUAACGUACUUCAUUAUCAGGAAGUUUCUUUAGGAUUAGCUGCGGGAAGUUUUUCAGAGAGGUACUACAAUAUAGUGUUUAGUUGCAUAAAUACUAAAGCUGGACCACCUGUGCUGAAAUCUCAGACUCUGACAUUUAGUAACUGUAUGGCUUGACAAUUUACUUAUAUCUCCACUCUUCUAUUGCUACAUCACCAAAACAAAGAUAAUAAUACUAUCUACCUCCCUGGAUUUCCGUGAGGGUAAAAUGAAUAAAUAUUCAUAGAGUGCUUAUUAGAAUGCUAUAAAAACGUUAGGCCCUCUUAUCAAAUGUGUUUUCUCUACUGGCACAUGUAUAUGAUUUUCUCCCUUUCAUGUGUUUAUUUAGUGAUUUUGCUUGCAUGAUUUCUAAAUGCUUUUUCAUGCAUUGAUUUGAGAGAUUUUUAUCAUGCACUAAUAUGAUACAGAUAUUGAUUCUGAUGCUAGAAUAAAAUAGUAAACAAAAGUGGCAAAAUAUUUUGUGCUUUUGGAG
Molecule: long non-coding RNA, 1481 nt
Filed under: Callithrix jacchus (white-tufted-ear marmoset)
Lineage: Eukaryota; Metazoa; Chordata; Mammalia; Primates; Cebidae
Description: lncRNA (ENSCJAG00000078738.1)
Source: RNAcentral